Long non-coding RNA from Phyllostomus discolor (pale spear-nosed bat), 5435 nucleotides. RefSeq lists it as uncharacterized. The record is from RefSeq and is a predicted model, not a curated record. Lineage: Eukaryota; Metazoa; Chordata; Mammalia; Chiroptera; Phyllostomidae. The transcript has 2 exons.
ACUUUAUUAAAAAUGAGCCAAAGACUGUAACAUUUACCUCACUGAAGAAGAUAUACAAACGGCAAAUGAGCACAUGGAAAGAUACUCUACAUCCUAUGGCAUCAGGGAAACACAAAAGAAAACACCAGUGAGAUACUACUAAACACCUAUGCAAAUGGCCACAAUUCAGAACACUGACGACAACAACAAGUGCGGCUAAGGAUGUGGAGCAACAGGAACUCACAUUCAUUGCUGGAGGGAAUGCCAAUGGUGCAGCUACUUUGGAAGACAGUUUGGCAGUUUCUUAAUGAAACUAAAUGUGCUCUUACCAUAUAAUUCAGCAACAGUGGUCCUUGGCAUUUCUCUAACAACGUUAAAAACUUAUGUCCACACAAAAACCUUCACAUGGAUGAUUUUGGCAGUGUUAUUUAUAAAUGUCAAAACUUAAAAAACAACUAAGAUGCCCUUCAGUAGCUGAAAGGAUAAAUGAACUGUGGUACACCCAGACAGUGGAAUAUUUUUCAGAGCUAAAAGGAAAUGAGCUGUUAAGCCAUGAAAAUUCAUGAGGAAACCUAAAUGCAUAUUCCUAGGGAAAGAAGCCAAUGUGAAAGCCUACAUAUUAAGUGAUUCCAACUUUAUGACAUUCUGGAAAAGGCAAACCUGUGGUGAGAGGGCAAAGAUCAGGAAUUGCGAGGGAUUUGGGAGGAGAGGGGUGAAGAGUCAGGGCUCAGGAGGUUUCUAGGGCAGUGAAAAUACUCCAUAUGACAUUAUAAUGAUGGAUGCAUGUCAUUAUACAUUUGUCCAAACCCAUAGAUGUACAACACCAAGAGUGAAUAUCAUGUGAACUAUGGAUUUAGGGUGAUUAUGAUGUGUCAGUGUAGGUUCAUCAAUUGUAACAAAUGUACCUUGAGUGGGGCUGUUGACAAGGGGAAAUGCUGCAUGUGUAGGGGCUAGGAGGGAUAUAGGGAAUUUCUAUACCUUCCCCUCAGCUUUGCUGUGAACCCAAAAUUGCUCUAAGAAAGUUUUACUUUUAAAAGUAAUGUAUGAAAACUGAUGGAUGAAAGUGGUUUGCAACCAAAUUGCAUCCAGGAUGCAGGUUUUAAAGCUCUAAAUUAAAAUAUAACCUAGUCUUGUAUUAUCGUAUGGUUAAGGAAUGAGAUAAACUAUGACCACUAAAAUGCCAAUCAUACAUAGAUCACCAGUUUUUAAAGAAAAUAGCAUUCCUUAAUUUCCUCCAUAACAACUUUUUGAGUGCCAGCUGCAUGCAUACUACGCUACUCCGCUGAGUAUAUAACAUGUGACAAGACACCUACACAGCAUCCCAGAAUCGUGACUUGUGAUAUCCAUUUCUUUAAGUCAGGCACACAGCAGCAUCUCUGUAAACAUUGUUGGUUGAGUAAACCAAUGAAUGAAUGAAUGAAUGAGUCCAUCAACCAAUCAGUGAUUAUCAUUUGCAGAAUAGCCAUGUUCUGUUCUCAGUGGUAUUUUCAGCUCACGAAGAUGAGGUAUCAUCAUACCUUGGAACAUAAAUGUGUCAUUAUCAUUUCUAUUCUUGAGAAAUAUAGUUUAGAUCACUCCAUUUUAUAUAUUUUUAGUUACAAAGUCCAUUAAAUGCAUUCAUGAAAAACCAGCGGUGAAUUAAAAAAAACAUAUUUUUAUCUAUCACAAAUGUUAUAAUGAGCUCCUAGUGUAGCAUACUGAUGAAUUGUUUAAGCUUCAAGGAAUUUUAAAUUUGACUUAAUGUUAAAUCAUAGUCUUUUAAAGCUAUUUUAAGAAGUAAAUUGCUAUAUAUGUCAGUAGUCAAAAUGUCUAGCUCAUUAAUUUCCUUUUUUACUUACAUCUAUAUCAAAAUAUAACAUCCAAGACAUUUUUAAAGCUUACUUUUCUUCACUGAAAAUGAAGAGUUUAGCUAUACAGUUUUUAUUUUAUUUCCUAUACCCACCAUUCAUUAUAUUAAACUACCCAAUUGACUGCCAAGCAGCUAGACCUAAAUUUUCUCAAAUUGAUUUUCAGGUGAAAUUUGUGAGGCUAAUCUAAUAAUCAAUGGGCUACUUUGUGAACUGCAUAUAAAUUAUGCACAUUAUUUUGAGAGAUUUUGAACUGGUCUAUUUACUAGUUCAGUUUUGUCAGUAGGAUACCAUUGCAAACUAAGUGUUGUAUCUUCUGCAAUACCAGUCUCUUACUGGAGAACAUCACAGAAUCAUUCACUUCUAUAAGCUGAAGAGAAGAUUUAGAUUACUCUUAUUUCACAAGAAAGAUGGAGGUCAUAGGAAAUACGGUGAGGGAAUUUUGGCCCCUCACCCCCUGUCUAGUGCCCAUGACUCUUGCACCCCACCCCCAAGACUACAUAUGUUGUAUUAAAGAAUAAGUAUUAUGCGAUACUCUCUUUGCGGGCUGUAGCUUUAUUAUGUCUUUAUGUAUAUACUGCAGCCCAGGUCACAUGACUUAAGAUCAAGUGGUAGAGUCUUCAACCUAAAUAAAAAGUCCGCUUACCUCCAAAGAAGUAAAAUGACAAUGUGUUGAAUGACAGCCUUAAAUGUUUGCUUCAAGAAGGUUUAUUUCCUGGUUAUAGGAAUUCUUGUUGUUGUUUUCAAUAUGUAUCUGUAUACUUGUAUAUUUUAGGUAAAAUUAUUUUUAAAGAUAUUUGAUGACACAUUAGUAAUACUGUACUACACCUUCAUCGAACAUCAAAUUAUGGGCAAAGCCAAGCCCAGAGUGUUUCCAAAGAAUCUCAGUAGAUUUCACGGGCUUGUGCACGAAAUCUCACAUAUUGAUGCAAAGAAAGAGACCCAGAGUCUAGUGAUUCUCAUGUCACAGAUCAGUCUAACAGAUGCUUUUCCACUUUUAGUGCUGUAGACUAAAAGAAACAUUGUAGACUACAAUAAACAUGAAUAAUACAGAUAAUCCCAGUUAUAAUAAUCAUUAAACAUUGAGAACCUGAAAAUCUGCCAUGAGUCAGGUACUGUCCCAGGUAUAUCUCUAGUCCUCACAUCAGCUCUACAACCUGAGAGCUGUAUGCUGAUUUCAGAGUUCAGACAAUGAGAUUAGGUGUGUUUUGCUUUGUCUGAGAUCAGUCUCAAAGAGUAGAAUGUAGAAAGGGAGUCAGUCUGACACUGGACCUGCAGAUCUGUUAUUACCACAAAGUGCGCCCCUGAAAAUAAUGAACCCGUGGGGAUAACAACCUCAUGCUCGGAAGCAGCCUUGACUAUUUUCAAUGUUAAAAAAAAGAUCAAAGUAUUAUAAGAAAGCUAAGAAGCAAAUCAUCACAGAGCAGGACUGAAAAGACUGCUUUCUGUCAUUGCUACGUGACUGCUCAGUGUGGCUUAUAUUCAUCUGCUGUUAUUCAUAUUAUUAUUCAUAAUAUCAGAUGACAUUUAUUGAGCUGGGUCAGGGAAGGCUUCCUGAAGGAAGGGAAAUAGUAGUGGUGACCUGAGUGGUUAAUUACCAAUUGAAAAAUGCAUGGGACACAGGGAGAUAGAUGGUAGCAGUGGGGUGGGGGAGGUUGUCCAUGUGGAAACAGCUCGUACAAAGGCACAGAUAUGGCACACUGUUAUGGGUUGAAUUGCAUCAAAGAUUAUAUGUUGAAGUCCUAACCCCCAGAACCUCAGUAUGUGCCCUUAUUUGUAAAUAGGGUUGUUGCAGAUAUAAUUAGUUAAGAUGAGGUCAUCCAGGAGUAGAGUGGGCCCCUAAUCUUAUAUGACUGGGAUCCUUUUAAGAAGCUGAGCUUUGGACACAGACACACUGGGGCAGGAUGUGUGUGCCCUGUGAAGAUGAAGUCAGAGACAGGGCUGAUGCAUCUACAAGCCCAGGAACACCAAAGAUUUCUGGGUAACCACUGGCAGCUAGGGGAGAAGCAUGGGACAGAGACUCCCUCACAGACAGCUUCGGAAGGAAUCCUUGCCACUGAUGUCUUGACCUUGGAUUUCCAGCCUCUAGAACUCUCAGACUAUAAAUUUCUGUUGUUGAAGUCACUCCAUUGGUUAUAGUAAUCCUAGCAAACUUACACAGGGACCAAGGAGUUCAAAGAGAGGCAGUAUGGCUCGUGACUUUCAUUCCUUAAUGAAGGACAAAGUGUCCUCUAACAACCAGUGCGAUGGCAGAGAAGUGCCCUGGCAAUGUUGGAGCUAUUUCAUUCAUAAUGGCCGCUGUCUCAUAAAACACAUGGUGGGACUAAAACUUGUGCACUAUGGUCUAUUAAAUGUGCUUAAAAAGCAAUUGACUUCACUGUGUUAUAUGGUUAUUUGAUAAAUGUUUAGCAUCUAUGAUGUGCCAUGUUCUAUAGGAUAGUUGAAAAGCUUGGACUAAAAACUAAAAACUGUGAACAGAACUAAGAGUUCCCAUAUUUGAGGAGACUUUGGACAAUAUCCCGGCUUCUUGGGGUAUCAGUGUCCUCAUCAGCUUCCCCAAGGAUGGGAGAUUAAAUAAGAUUACAGUGGACACACGCGUUUAGUGGAUUUCGUGCUUCAUAGCAGGAACACUGUAAUGGAGAUGUAUUAUUAUUGUUGUUGUUUUCUAUUGCUUAGGUUGGGGAGAUGUGCAUGCCAUCAUCCCAUCCCUUUGGGCUCCUGGUCUCCUCCUGCCCAUGAGACAUGUUGCCAGUUUCUGGCUCUGUUUCCCGGCUCUUCAUUUCCAGCUUCCAAUGGGGCCUGACGAUCAGAUGGCCAUGAUUAGUUCUUUGGCUUGCAUUGCAGAUUAUCUAUUAAGUAUCCAUCUUCUCGGCCACUGAGGCAUAUGGUGAGCACUUCCAGGGCUUAAAAUAAAUCUGCAUUUUAACAUGUGGGAUCUUAUUAUGCAAAAGAGAGCUCACACGGGGUCUAACCUUGUUAUUUGUUAUGCCACCCACGUCUGCUUGUGCAUUCUGGAUGGAACAGUACAUCAGGCCCUGGGCCUUUCAUUUGAUGACAGUGCAUAGACAUUGUGAGUGAAGACAUCCUAGGAAGUAGCGUCAGCCCUCAACUGCACACGAUGCAGGAAAGGAGAGAGAGGGUGAAGAGUCAUUUCCCUUUCUCUUUCUGCAGACACAUCCUUCAGUUUUCAACCCAACACUUUUUAGCACCUACUAUGUGCCAGCUGUUUCUAUGGAUACUUGGGUGAUGGUGGAUAGGAUGGCACAGACCUGGACGCGUGUUUGUCAGAAGAGAUCUUGUAAUGUUGAGUACAAGAAGUGAACCUUGUUCUCUGGGCUGGUGCAGCUCUGUCCCAGCACACCCACUGUAACCCGUAGAUGGUGCAGUGGGAUUAGGUUUCGUCCUCUUGACUAAGUGCCCUUGGAGUGGGCACUUAGAGCAACUAAAUGGACAACUAGUGGAAAGAAUGCCCAGCAGACAAAAAACCAGGUGACCGACUAUAUAACCCUCUGAGGGUUGCUUGGUUUUGGGGUGGAUGUGUAUAUACUGAAGUUUAUUAUGUUUUGUUCUGUAUCCUUCAACUAUAAAUUGACUGUUUCUUAUGUGAAU